UGGGGAAUAUUGCACAAUGGGCGCAAGCCUGAUGCAGCCAUGCCGCGUGUGUGAAGAAGGCCUUCGGGUUGUAAAGCACUUUCAGCGAGGAGGAAGGUGGAUGAGCUUAAUACGCUCAUCACUUGACGUUACUCGCAGAAGAAGCACCGGCUAACUCCGUGC
This 162-nucleotide ribosomal RNA is filed under the name uncultured Serratia sp. RNAcentral's name for it is "partial 16S ribosomal RNA". It matches the Rfam family "Bacterial small subunit ribosomal RNA", at positions 355 to 508 of the family's 1533-position model. The record is from RNAcentral. Lineage: Bacteria; Pseudomonadati; Pseudomonadota; Gammaproteobacteria; Enterobacterales; Yersiniaceae.